GCCAGUGUGGUGCAGUGGUUUAACUAUUGGCCUAGGAGUCCAAGAGACUAGGGUUCAAAUUCCUGCUCAGACA
This is a non-coding RNA of Phrynosoma platyrhinos (Desert horned lizard), 73 nucleotides long. NCBI's taxonomy places the organism in Eukaryota, Metazoa, Chordata, Lepidosauria, Squamata, Phrynosomatidae. The record is from the annotation of a GenBank genome assembly.